Molecule: ribosomal RNA, 828 nt
Filed under: uncultured marine group I thaumarchaeote
Lineage: Archaea; Thermoproteati; Nitrososphaerota
Description: bacterial SSU rRNA
Rfam family: Archaeal small subunit ribosomal RNA
Source: RNAcentral
GCCAUGCUAGCGGAGGGCAGUUCGGCUGCCCCGCGAAAAGCUCAGUAACACGUGGUCAAUCUACCCUUGGGAUUGGGAUAACCCCGGGAAACUGGGGAUAAUUCCAAAUAGGCGGGGGUUCUGGAAAUGUCCCUCGCUGAAAAGCUACGGCGCCUAAGGACGAGACUGCGGCCGAUUAGGUAGUUGGUGAGGUAAAGGCUCACCAAGCCAAAGAUGGGUACGGGCCCUGAGAGGGGGAGCCCGGAGAUGGAGACUGAGACACGGACCCAGGCCCUAUGGGGCGCAGCAGGCGAGAAAACUUUGCAAUGUGCGAAAGCACGACAAGGUUAAUCCGAGUGGUUUCUGCUAAAGGAACCUUUUGUUAGUCCUAGAAACACUAACGAAUAAGGGGUGGGCAAGUUCUGGUGUCAGCCGCCGCGGUAAAACCAGCACCUCAAGUGGUCAGGAUGAUUAUUGGGCCUAAAGCAUCCGUAGCCGGCUCUGUAAGUUUUCGGUUAAAUCUGUACGCUCAACGUACAGGCUGCCGGGAAUACUGCAGAGCUAGGGAGUGGGAGAGGUAGACGGUACUCGGGAGGAAGUGGUAAAAUGCUUUGAUCUCUCGAUGACCACCUGUGGCGAAGGCGGUCUACCAGAACACGUCCGACGGUGAGGGAUGAAAGCUGGGGGAGCAAACCGGAUUAGAUACCCGGGUAGUCCCAGCUGUAAACUAUGCAAACUCAGUGAUGCAUUGGCUUGUGGCCAAUGCAGUAUUGCAGGGAAGCCGUUAAGUUUGCCGCCUGGGAAGUACGUACGCAAGUAUGAAACUUAAAGGAAUUGGCGGGGGAGCAC